AGGGGGAAGUUAAGAAAUUUCUAAAUUGAAAAUUUGAUGAAUGUGUAUAUAUAUGAGGUAAUUUAUUCAUUUUCAAUUAUUUUAAGUUAGAAAUUCAUGGAAUUUAAAAAUAGUCAUGUUGGUUGUGUUCAUCACAAAAAAAACAUUACAGUUUUUUUUUUUGUAAAGUUCACUUAAAACACUUUUGAUCUAUAGAAGUGACAUAUGAAAGAGCGACACUAGUUAAAGUUGGAAUAUUUCUUUCCACAAAUAUAUAGAUCGUCCACAAAGUUUUGGAGAGAUGCAGAGAAUGCCCAAGAUAUUCACUACAAGAAAACGUCUCCAUAACAACGAAGAUUUACGACGAAAAUAUUUCCUCGUAAAUUUACAUGGUGUUUACAACGCAGUUACGAGGAGACCAAAUUUUGUCGUAAACUCCAUGUAAAUUUACGAGGAAAUAUUUUUGUCGUAAAGUCCAUGUAAGUUUACGACGAAAGUACGUGGAAUG
Molecule: long non-coding RNA, 487 nt
Filed under: Brassica napus (rape)
Lineage: Eukaryota; Viridiplantae; Streptophyta; Magnoliopsida; Brassicales; Brassicaceae
Description: long non-coding RNA (BNAP_LNC017763)
Source: RNAcentral